AGUAACACGUGGGUAACCUGCCCAUCAGAGGGGGAUAACACUUGGAAACAGGUGCUAAUACCGCAUAAUAGUCGACACCGCAUGGUGUUGAUUUGAAAGACGCUUUCGGGUGUCACUGAUGGAUGGACCCGCGGUGCAUUAGCUAGUUGGUGAGGUAACGGCUCACCAAGGCGAUGAUGCAUAGCCGACCUGAGAGGGUGAUCGGCCACACUGGGACUGAGACACGGCCCAGACUCCUACGGGAGGCAGCAGUAGGGAAUCUUCGGCAAUGGACGAAAGUCUGACCGAGCAACGCCGCGUGAGUGAAGAAGGUUUUCGGAUCGUAAAACUCUGUUGUUAGAGAAGAAUAAGUAGGAGAGUAACUGCUCUUACCUUGACGGUAUCUAACCAGAAAGCCACGGCUAACUACGUGCCAGCAGCCGCGGUAAUACGUAGGUGGCAAGCGUUGUCC
This 451-nucleotide ribosomal RNA is filed under the name uncultured bacterium. RNAcentral describes it as "bacterial SSU rRNA". It matches the Rfam family "Bacterial small subunit ribosomal RNA", at positions 109 to 546 of the family's 1533-position model. The record is from RNAcentral.